This 349-nucleotide unclassified non-coding RNA is filed under the name Bursera schlechtendalii. Its description in RNAcentral is "partial external transcribed spacer". The record is from RNAcentral. Lineage: Eukaryota; Viridiplantae; Streptophyta; Magnoliopsida; Sapindales; Burseraceae.
UUCGGUAUCCUGUGUUGCUUACCUAUCGAAAGGAAUCCGACGGUUUCGUUGGUCCCUCUCCGCCCCAUGCCCUCGUGGGUGGUGGGGUGGACGUCAGGCAAGCCUCGUGUUCCCGGCACGCCUCGCCCAGUUGCGUGGCUGCCGAGGCCCACGGGGCGCGUUGCCCGUGCUCUCGGAUGCGGAACGUUGUGCGCGGGCGUGGGGUCUUUUGGCUCCGUCGGCCCGAGCAACGCAUUUGUCCCUCGACACGAACGACCGUCGAACCCGUCUUGAGCACGUCUCAUGCGGGCGUCGGCGUCGCGAAGGAAUGCUACCUGGUUGAUCCUGCCAGUAGUCAUAUGCUUGUCUC